CAGUCGAGGGGCAGCAUGGUCUUAGCUUGCUAAGGCCGAUGGCGACCGGCGCACGGGUGAGUAACACGUAUCCAACCUGCCGUCUACUCUUGGACAGCCUUCUGAAAGGAAGAUUAAUACAAGAUGGCAUCAUGAGUCCACAUGUUCACAUGAUUAAAGGUAUUCCGGUAGACGAUGGGGAUGCGUUCCAUUAGAUAGUAGGCGGGGUAACGGCCCACCUAGUCUUCGAUGGAUAGGGGUUCUGAGAGGAAGGUCCCCCACAUUGGAACUGAGACACGGUCCAAACUCCUACGGGAGGCAGCAGUGAGGAAUAUUGGUCAAUGGGCGAGAGCCUGAACCAGCCAAGUAGCGUGAAGGAUGACUGCCCUAUGGGUUGUAAACUUCUUUUAUAAAGGAAUAAAGUCGGGUAUGGAUACCCGUUUGCAUGUACUUUAUGAAUAAGGAUCGGCUAACUCCGUGCCAGCAGCCGCGGUAAUACGGAGGAUCCGAGCGUUAUCCGGAUUUAUUGGGUUUAAAGGGAGCGUAGAUGGAUGUUUAAGUCAGUUGUGAAAGUUUGCGGCUCAACCGUAAAACUGCAGUUGAUACUGGAUAUCUUGAGUGCAGUUGAGGCAGGC
This 614-nucleotide ribosomal RNA is filed under the name uncultured bacterium. RNAcentral's name for it is "bacterial SSU rRNA". It matches the Rfam family "Bacterial small subunit ribosomal RNA", at positions 59 to 662 of the family's 1533-position model. The record is from RNAcentral.